This is a non-coding RNA of Cyanistes caeruleus (blue tit), 803 nucleotides long. Lineage: Eukaryota; Metazoa; Chordata; Aves; Passeriformes; Paridae. The record is from RefSeq and is a predicted model, not a curated record.
GCUAGCUAAUAAAGGUUGUGUUCCCAUGCAGCAAUUAGCUGAGAAAGAAUUAAACAACAGUAGAGUGUAGUUGGUAUGAGAUGUUGCAAUGUCAGAAAGACCUUAGUGAUAACUGUGAACUGAGAACAGGACACUGUGAUCAGAAGAAUGUGGAUUCAGCACAGAUGAACGACCACAAGAAUGUGGAACUAGGUGGAGUUGUCCUUAAACGAAAUACCCAAUAAUGAGCUUGCUUUUGCACUAUGUAUGAGCCUAAUUAUUGAUGUUAUAUAGGGAGUUUGGAGUUGCCAAUAAAGGAGACUUGCUGAUCAUUCAUAUUGAGUGCUGCUUGUCUCCCGCCGAACUCAUCAAAUGGCGCCUGAACAAAUGGGACCCUUGGGACCUUUGGGACCUUUGGGACAUUAAAAAGCGAAGGCCACGGGAGUCGGCGACAGGGGACGGGUCCUCCGCAGCAAGGACGGCGAAAAGCAACGGUGCCGCGCCCCAGGCGACCUCAGAGGAGAGUCCUGGCCGUAACGUGCUGCCGAACCUUGUAGGGCUGCAACAGCGCUGACGAGUAUGUGGAGAAUGUGAAGAAAGAUAACAGCAGCAGAGAGCAGCAGCAGGGCGGGCAGUCCACCCCCCGCUCCCUCUCUAUGAAAAAGCACCGGGAUAGUACCCAGUUUGUUAAAAAGUCAUGAUUCAUGGGUUUUUUAAAUAUUUUUAUAUACCCUUUUAGAGUUAAUUUUGUGUUUUAAGUAAUAAUGAAUUUAUGCAGAUGCAGUUUUUUAGAGUUUUCCUGGAGAAAUUACUGUGAUUCUUUG